GAUGAACGCUGGCGGCGUGCCUAACACAUGCAAGUCGAGCGGCAGCGAGGGGUGCUUGCACCCUGUCGGCGAGCGGCGGACGGCUGAGUAACGCGUGGGAACGUGCCCCAAAGUGAGGAAUAACUGCCCGAAAUGGUAGCUAAUACCGCAUAUUAUCUUCGGAUCAAAGGAUUUAUCCGCUUUGGGAGCGGCUCGCGUCGGAUUAGGUAGUUGGUGAGGUAAUGGCUCACCAAGCCGACGAUCCGUAGCUGGUCUGAGAGGAUGACCAGCCAGACUGGAACUGAGACACGGUCCAGACUCCUACGGGAGGCAGCAGUGAGGAAUCUUCCACAAUGGGCGAAAGCCUGAUGGAGCAACGCCGCGUGCAGGACGAAGGCCUUCGGGUUGUAAACUGCUUUUAUAAGUGAGGAAUAUGACGGUAACUUAUGAAUAAGGAUCGGCUAACUACGUG
RNAcentral lists this ribosomal RNA (451 nucleotides) under uncultured bacterium. RNAcentral's name for it is "partial 16S ribosomal RNA". It matches the Rfam family "Bacterial small subunit ribosomal RNA", at positions 28 to 507 of the family's 1533-position model. The record is from RNAcentral.